UGGGGAAUAUUGGACAAUGGGCGAAAGCCUGAUCCAGCCAUGCCGCGUGUGUGAAGAAGGUCUUCGGAUUGUAAAGCACUUUAAGUUGGGAGGAAGGGCAGUAAGCGAAUACCUUGCUGUUUUGACGUUACCGACAGAAUAAGCACCGGCUAACUCUGUGCCAGCAGCCGCGGUAAUACAGAGGGUGCAAGCGUUAAUCGGAAUUACUGGGCGUAAAGCGCGCGUAGGUGGUUCGUUAAGUUGAAUGUGAAAGCCCCGGGCUCAACCUGGGAACUGCAUCCAAAACUUGCGAGCUAGAGUAUGGCAGAGGGUGGUGGAAUUUCCUGUGUAGCGGUGAAAUGCGUAGAUAUAGGAAGGAACACCAGUGGCGAAGGCGACCACCUGGACUCAUACUUACACUGUAGUGCGAAAGCGUGGGGAGCAAACAGG
This 429-nucleotide ribosomal RNA is filed under the name Pseudomonadota bacterium. RNAcentral describes it as "Proteobacteria bacterium partial 16S ribosomal RNA". It matches the Rfam family "Bacterial small subunit ribosomal RNA", at positions 355 to 776 of the family's 1533-position model. Lineage: Bacteria; Pseudomonadati; Pseudomonadota. The record is from RNAcentral.